UCCGUAGGUGAACCUGCGGAAGGAUCAUUACUGUGAUUUACUACUACACUGCGUGAGCGGAACGAAAACAACAACACCUAAAAUGUGGAAUAUAGCAUAUAGUCGACAAGAGAAAUUUACGAAAAAACAAACAAAACUUUCAACAACGGAUCUCUUGGUUCUCGCAUCGAUGAAGAGCGCAGCGAAAUGCGAUACCUAGUGUGAAUUGCAGCCAUCGUGAAUCAUCGAGUUAUUGAACGCACAUUGCACCCCUCGGCAUUCCGGGGGGCAUGCCUGUUUGAGCGUCGUUUCCAUCUUGCGCGUGCGCAGAGUUGGGGGAGCGGAGCGGACGACGUGUAAAGAGCGUCGGAGCUGCGACUCGCCAGAAAGGGAGCGAAGCUGGCCGAGCGAAUUAGACUUUUUUUCAGGGACGCUUGGCGGCCGAGAGCGAGUGUUGCGAGACAACAAAAAGCUCGACCUCAAAUCAGGUAGGAAUACCCGCUGAACUUAAGCAUAUCAAUAAGCGGAG
This 508-nucleotide ribosomal RNA is filed under the name Pichia kudriavzevii. Its description in RNAcentral is "eukaryotic LSU rRNA". The stretch from base 135 to 287 matches the Rfam family "5.8S ribosomal RNA". Lineage: Eukaryota; Fungi; Ascomycota; Pichiomycetes; Pichiales; Pichiaceae. The record is from RNAcentral.